GUGACUUGAGGGGACGUCCAGCUGGGUCCCGGCUCCACAGGUGCUCCCAAAUGUCAGUGUCUGAGGGCAGAAGAGGCGACUUCUGGAGACUUCUGCGUGACUGAGCUGGACAAAACACUAAUUACUAAAAAGAAUUUAUUCUGGGAAAAUACCAGGACACGGCAAGACAGGACAGGAAGAAGCCAAUCCUCAAAAUCUCAUUAUAUAUUCAUGAAGAACUUUUUGAGCAGCUUGGGAAUUUUAAUUCUGUUAAACACUGGAAAAUCCAGAAAGCACGAGCUUUGCAGCAUAAGCCCAGCAGGCUGAAAGAAGGAGCGUACAUUCGGCCAUGUUGGAGCGGUUAGCGCAGUGACCGUGCGGCUGCAGAAACUCAAAAUGGAGGGGCAGGGGGAUGUCAGCCGCUCAGUGACGCCGCGAUGUUUAGGUCGGCUGUACACCGUGUCCCGGGAACGAUAUUCUGUUACGGCGGUUCAGUUACAGGCACGGCGUAAAUCUGCCCAACUAAGGGGGGGUUGCAAAAGACUGAGGGUGUAAUUUCAGUCCAAAGGGCGACGCAUGUAGUGACACGGCUCUCACUCCCCCCAGCAGUAUGUAACCGUGAUUCAAUAAGCAGAAGCCAUAACCGAAGGGCGUUACAGUGGAAUGCAGGCAUGAUGUCACAACUCCUCACCCUUAACCGGAAACUCUACUGCGACCCUCCAUGGCGAUAGUGGAGAGGAAACCCCCCAGAGAAUCCCUCAACUUGGACAUCAGGAAUCAAUGCCAGCAGUGAAGACAAUCAGUGGGAAUUGGCCAAGUUUCGGAAAUUUGCGAUAUGACUCACAACGGCUGCUUCGGUAAACGAGCAAAUGGAGUGACCUCAGAAUUCAAGAUGGCUGCAUCCGUUAUCAGCAGAAGUGAAAGCUGUAGUUAUAUACUGUUUAUUAGCACUUAUGUCUUAUUUGUGGCUCAUUAAAUCAGACGUACACACAA
Molecule: long non-coding RNA, 972 nt
Organism: Paramormyrops kingsleyae
Lineage: Eukaryota; Metazoa; Chordata; Actinopteri; Osteoglossiformes; Mormyridae
Source: RefSeq, a predicted model, not a curated record